GUCGAGGGGCAGCACAGGUAGCAAUACUUGGUGGCGACCGGCGCACGGGUGCGUAACACGUUUGUAAUCUACCCAUCACAGGAGUAUAGCUCGGAGAAAUCCGGAUUAAUCCUCCAUAACAUCCCGCCAGGCAUCUGGCAGGAUUAAAAGCUACGGCGGUGAAGGAUGAACACGCGACUGAUUAGUUAGUUGGUGAGGUAACGGCUCACCAAGACCACGAUCAGUGGGGGUACUGAGAGGUUAAACCCCCACACUGGUACUGAGACACGGACCAGACUCCUACGGGAGGCAGCAGUAAGGAAUAUUGGACAAUGGGGGCAACCCUGAUCCAGCCAUGCCGCGUGCAGGAAGACAGACCUAUGGUUUGUAAACUGCUUUUGUACCAGAGAAAACCCCCGCUCGUGAGCGGGGCUGAUAGUAUGGUAAGAAUAAGCAUCGGCUAACUUCGUGCCAGCAGCCGCGGUAAGACGAAGGAUGCAAGCGUUAUCCGGAUUCAUUGGGUUUAAAGGGAGCGUAGGUGGGCUUGUAAGUCAGUGGUGAAAUCUUCCCGCUUAACGGGAAAACUGCCAUUGAUACUGCAGGUCUGGAGUACAUUUGCUGUGGGCGGAAUAUGACAAGUAGUGGUGAAAUACUUAGAUAUGUCAUAGAACACCGAUUGCGCAGGCAGCUCACAAAAAUGUAACUGACACUGAGGCUCGAAGGUGCGGGGAUCAAACAGGAUUAGAUACCCUGGUAGUCCGCACCGUAAACGAUGAUUACU
This 760-nucleotide ribosomal RNA is filed under the name uncultured bacterium. RNAcentral describes it as "bacterial SSU rRNA". It matches the Rfam family "Bacterial small subunit ribosomal RNA", at positions 61 to 817 of the family's 1533-position model. The record is from RNAcentral.